Long non-coding RNA from Daphnia magna, 569 nucleotides. RefSeq lists it as uncharacterized. The record is from RefSeq and is a predicted model, not a curated record. The transcript has 4 exons. Lineage: Eukaryota; Metazoa; Arthropoda; Branchiopoda; Diplostraca; Daphniidae.
CCGACAUUUGGACACAACAACAAAAUGUUGCUGAACCCAAUUAUCAGAAUACUCGACCAGUACUCAAGGACGAAAAGACUUCCAGUUAAACGACGAGUGGACUCCCAGGCAAUCGACGUUCGAACUCCCGGGAACUCCUCAUCCAGCGACAAAAGGACUCCCAAUCCAGUGACGCACGGAUUUGCUUAUUUGUUGCAGCUGAAGGAUCGUUAAGAACAUAGAAGAAAAGUUUAAUUACAAUUAUGUAAAUAUUGUACUCUGAAAUGGAACGAACAUGGGUAACCAUGUUUGUUCCAGUCAGACUUCUUUCCCUUCUUGUAUUCUACACCGAAGUGUACUAUACACGUGAGUGGCGAUAUGCACGUAAUACUACAGUUCACCGCAAAGCCAAAGCAGAAUGUCACAGACCUACAAAAGCCAAAAUGAAAGAAGUUUUCUGCAACCAAAAUCCACUUGUACCCACCGUUGCAGGUCCACAGCAGCACAGGCAGUCAGACACACUGUACACAAACAGUUUGUAGUUCAAAUUUUAAUGUAUUAAACAACAUAAAUACAAAAUUCUUCGUUCA